RNAcentral lists this transfer RNA (56 nucleotides) under Cavia porcellus (domestic guinea pig). The record is from Rfam by way of RNAcentral. Lineage: Eukaryota; Metazoa; Chordata; Mammalia; Rodentia; Caviidae.
GGGGAUUUAGCUCAGCGGCAUAAGCGCCUGCCUUGCAAGCAGGCAGUCUAUCCCCA